This is a non-coding RNA of Camellia sinensis, 1708 nucleotides long. The record is from RefSeq and is a predicted model, not a curated record. Lineage: Eukaryota; Viridiplantae; Streptophyta; Magnoliopsida; Ericales; Theaceae.
AUAGGACCAUGAAAAAUACUAAAAUACCUAUUUGAACUGUAUAUGACAAUAUGUACAAAGAAAAUAGUAGAGCCUUGCGGUAAUAGAUGAGUAUAUGUAUGUUCAGUUUCAUGCAUAUACGUCAGCACAACUAAAAGCUAGCAAAAAAGCCAAACAAACAAAAGCUAAAUCCAACAGCCCAUAAAAAAAGUUUUCAUAUUGUAGAACAAGCCGUCUUCUUUUUGUUCAUAUGCAUUAUGGGUAGUCAAGGUAACAGCUACUGUUAUUCUCCUCUCAGCAUCCAUAAUACUAUGUUUGGAUCUUGGAAUUUUGGGGGUAAUGGUGUUGGUGUAUACGAGUUGGCAAUUUCCAUGGGCAAAUUUUGAGCUUGGUUGUAAUGGAUUGAUAGGUUAGAUUGAGCAUUCAAAUGUGUUGCGGUUUGCAGAUUGACAUAAUCUAUGCAGAGAUGACUACAUACUUGUAAUAGAUAUAUACUACAUGAGCCAUUAGUUUUAAUUUCAGAAAAUUGACCUAUUUGACUCAUUCCCAGUCCCGGUAGGUUUUGGAGUCAAAAAUUUGCAAAAAAUAAGACCAAGGGGUAAAAUCCGAGGGCCUUGCUUGAAGCGGCUUGUACUCGAGCUGUCUUCACAAUGGUUUAUGUUAUAUGGCUUCCAGCACGGGACCCCAAUCCACGAUGGUCAACUUAGCAUGGAUAUUUCAAAAUGUGGAACUUGAUCUGCAUUGCAUUUAAUUCUUAAUGUCAUACCUUUUUUUCUCUGUUCUAGAUAUUUAUUUGUUGAUACCUGCCUACUUAUGAAGUGUUCAAUUGGUCGACUAGUUUUAUGCUGUAAUGCUUCUGCUCUGUGUAAUUAUCUUGUUUGUGUACCCAUGGAAGGACUAGUCUUCAUCAUCACUUUUCUCAAGUAUUCUAUUAUAUUUCUGUUCUGGAGAUGGAUGAAAAAUCCAGCUAGAAAAUACUCUUAAAAUUGAUAGUUUAAAUUUCCUUCUUUGUAACAGGAUGAGUGGCAAAGAGGACUGAAAGCUCUUACUGUUGACACUGUAAAUAAAUUGAAGAAUGCACUCUUGGAAGGUUAGGAUGCCUCAAAAUUUUGCAGAUUUCUAUUCUUUUGCAUUUCAAUUCUGCCUAACAGAAGAUAAGCAAAAAUGGAUAGAUGUUGAAUGCAUUUGUGAAUUGCUAGAUAUUGUUAUGGGGUCCCAAUUUCCGUCCCAGGUUGCCUUAUUCACCAAGUAUUUAAAGAUCCAUAAUGAUUACAAGGUGAUUAACAUGGAUCAAUGGACAAGCUUUCUACGGUUUUGCAGCCAGAUAAGCUUUCCAGACCUUAAAAAUUAUGAUACAAUCGAAGCUUGGCCAUUAAUCCUUGAUGAUUUCGUUGAGUGUAUGAGAGAAGAAAAGCUAGCCACAACAGAAUCUUAAUAUCCUUUCUAUAGAUUAUAGUGCUAAUCAGACGAGGACUCUGCCAAAACCUUUUGAAUGGACCUUUUUUUGAAGACUACUUGACUGGGGCUCUCUCUUGUAUGCCAAACUACUUAAAAAUUCUUCAUAUAGUUUUUUUUUAACAAUAUCAACUCCUUGGACAAUUAAUUGGCACCCUCCCAUUUUUGUUUUACUGUUGAAGGGACUUGAUUUAUUUUAAGGUACAGAUGAAUAAACAUUAAUAGAAGAAGUAAUUGAAAUUCAAAUUACUAGCUUCAUUUCCUUGUAAUGAAA